Molecule: unclassified non-coding RNA, 234 nt
Filed under: Hevea brasiliensis (rubber tree)
Lineage: Eukaryota; Viridiplantae; Streptophyta; Magnoliopsida; Malpighiales; Euphorbiaceae
Source: RNAcentral
GUUUAUGACAAUUUAACAAAUAUUAGUCCAUUCUAGUUUUUCACCUUGUAAGUAAAACAAAUAAAAAUACUUAUUUAUAGUUACUUAUUUAUAGUUUUACUUUCUGGAAGCUUCAAAUAGUUGCUUAAAAUCCCACAAUAACACACUGAUGGUUUUAUGCUUAUGAAAUAUAUAUAUAUACAGAUGGUUUUACAAUGGCAAGUAAUGGCAGAGCAAUACAAGCAGACACACACA